Molecule: ribosomal RNA, 468 nt
Filed under: uncultured bacterium
Lineage: Bacteria
Description: partial 16S ribosomal RNA
Rfam family: Bacterial small subunit ribosomal RNA
Source: RNAcentral
GACGAACGCUGGCGGCGUGCUUAACACAUGCAAGUCGAACGGAAAGGCCCUGCUUUUGUGGGGUUCUCGAGUGGCGAACGUGUGAGUAACACGUGAGUAACCUGCCCUUGACUUUGGGAUAACUUCAGGAAACUGGGUCUAAUACCGGAUGGGAGCUCCUGCGGCAUUGUGGGGGUUGGAAAGUUUCGGCGGUUGGGGAUGGACUCGCGGAUUAUCAGCUUGUUGGUGGGGUAGUGGAAUACCAAGGCUUUGACGGGUAGCCGGCCUGAGGGGGUGAGCGGCCACAUUGGGACUGAGCUACGGAGCAGCCUACUACGGGCGGCAGCAGUGGGGAUUAUUGCACAAUGGGAGGAAGCAUGAUGCAGCACCGCGGCGUGCGGGAUGACGGCCUUCGGGUUGUCACCUGCCUUCGCCGGUGACGAAGCGUGAGUGACGGUAAUGGGUAAAGAAGCACCGGCUAACUACGUG